Molecule: long non-coding RNA, 10132 nt
Filed under: Solanum tuberosum (potato)
Lineage: Eukaryota; Viridiplantae; Streptophyta; Magnoliopsida; Solanales; Solanaceae
Description: long non-coding RNA (STUB_LNC009477)
Source: RNAcentral
UAAGUUGGUUAAUUAUGGAAAAUUUCAAAAUAUUUCUAUAGUUUUUAAAUUCCAUGUCAAAUCAAACUACAUCACAUGAAUUGGGACGAGGGAGUAGUAGUAAUGGACAAUCUCCAUUCUCUAACCUCAAUUUCCCUAUUGGCUAUUGUCUGUUGGGUUGGAUUUUGUUUUGUUCAUCAAAUAUUUUCAAAUAUCAAAGUUUCGUUUUUUAAAUUUUAACUUCUGUUAUUGCUGAAAAACCGUAGGCAUGAAUCAAAAUUUAUUGAAAGUAUUAUAAAACAAGUUCUGCAAGAGGCCAACCAGACACCUCUAGAUGUUGCUCAUUACCCAACUUGGAUUAGAUUCUCCUAUCGAGCAUAUAGAGUUGUUACUGCAAAGUGGAUGUGAGCAUGAAGUUCGCAUGGUUGGUAUAUGUGGCGUUUGGUGGAAUUGGAAAAACAACUCUGGCAAAAGCUAUCUACAAUCGAAUAUUUCAACAGUUUGGUGGUAGUUGCUUUCUUUCAGACAUUAGAUCAAAAGCUGAAGAAUUGGGUCUAGUCAAGCUACAAGAAAAAGUACUUUGUCAAAUUCUCAAAACUAAGGAAUUCAAAGUUGAUAGUGUUGCUGAAGGUGUCAAUCUAAUCAAAGCAAGACUUGGGUCAAAGAAGGUUCUAAUUGUUCUUGAUGACGUGGAUCAUAGAAGCCAAUUAGAAUCCUUAACAAGAGAAAGAAGUUGGUUUGGCUCUGGUAGUGUAAUAAUUAUUACAACCCGAGACGAGCAUUUGCUAUAUGGGCUUACAACAAGUGAGAUAUACAGGGCCAAACUUUUAAAUGACAAUGGAGCUCAACAACUUUUUUCUUGUCAUGCUUUUAACAGUCUUUCUCCACCACAUGAAUAUUUUGAGCUGGCCCAAAACAUAAUUAAAUAUUCAGGUGGGCUACCAUUAGCUCUUGUGACAUUGGGGUCACAUUUUCAAGGGAGAUCCGUAGAAGAAUGGAGAAACGAGUUCAAAAAACUAAGAACAAUUCCUCAUUUUGAUAUUCAAAAGAUUCUCCAGAUAAGCUUUGAUGGACUUGAUGAUAAUACUCAGGGUGUUUUCCUUGAUAUUGCAUGCGCCUUCCAUGGAUGUGAUGAGGAUGAAGUUACCAAAACAUUAAACGCCUGUGGUUUUUAUUGUGAAAGUGCAAUUGCAACUCUAGUCAAAAGACACUUGCUCCAAAGGGAUUGGCGUUGUUUGGUGAUGCAUGAUCUUGUGCGGGAUAUGGGAAGAGAAAUUGUUCGCAGGGAAUCACCUCAAGACUCUGGGAAACGGAGUAGAUUGUUCAACCCUCAAGAAGUCCAUGACAUUCUACAAGGAAAUAAAGUAAGUAAAUUUCAUUAUCUUUAUCUUGGUUAUACUUUCUUCUCUUUUUUUUUUUCAUUUAAUUUGAUAUACAUUUGCUUAUAAUUUAGGUUGUCACCACUCACCACAAGAACUCAAUUCAUUUGUGCUUAAUUCUUCUUUGGAUAGUAAAUUAUCUCUAGUUGUUUGCCAACCACUCUCUCCUAAUUUCUCGUACUUUUCUUUUUACUAAAUUACAGGGUUCCGAAAAUAUAGAAGUAUUGGUGUUAGAACGACAUGCAUUAAAGGGUGUGAAGCUGAGCACAAAAGCAUUUCAGAAAAUGAUAAAACUUAGGGUGCUUAAAAUCGACGACUUACAUAUUAGUGGAGAUUUUGAGCUAUUGUCCAAGGAGCUCAGAUGGUUGUCUUGGAAAGGAUGUCCUUUAAAAUGUAUACCAUCAAAUUUUCCAGCUGAGAAACUUGUAAUCCUGAAUAUGAAAGGGAGCAAUAUCGAAGAAUUUGGUUUGAAUUUGCAGGUUCGUUACUCAAUUCUGCAAUUUGAUGUGUACUGUUAUAUUGCAACUACGUGAAGGAAAAUCUUAAUUGAAAUUAUAUUUUGUUUACUUCUUAGUAUUGUAGAAGUUUGAAGGAGCUGAAUCUUUCUAAUUGCAAACACCUCAGAAGUACUCCAAACUUCAGGGGUUCACGAAGUCUUGAAACUUUGUCGCUUGAGAAUUGCUCAAGUCUAAAGAAGAUCCAUCCAUCAAUAGGAAUUUGGAAAGACUAAUUGAUCUUCAAUUGAGUGGUUGCAAAAAGAUUACGGAUCUUCCGAGCAGCAUAUGCCAGCUAAAAUCCCUUGAAUACUUGAACAUUAAUUUCUGCUCAUCUUUACAAACACUGCCAGUUGACAUUGGAGAUAUGCAAAGCCUAACUCAUCUUUGUGCAUGGGGUACGGGUAUAAAACAGUUGCCUGGAUCUGUUGAAAUGUUGAGAAAUCUUAAAAAAUUGCGAGUGGGAGAUGAAACUUUAGAGGCCGAAAGGAGUUUUUCUCGAAGAAGAGUCCGCCGCAUAGAAUCCUUAUCUAAUUUUAUUUCGAAUAUAUGUCUUGCAUACUGUGGUUUCUCUGAGGCUGAUAUUCCUAGGGAUAUUGGGAGAUUAUCCAACUUACAUCAUUUAGAUUUGAGGGGCAACAAUUUCCUCUAUCUACCCUUUGAUUUUUCCAAGUUACCAUUGUUGGUGUUCUUGUAUUUGAAUGAUUGUAAGAAUCUUCAAACACUCCCGUCAAUAUCAAAUUUAGAGAAGCUUAAAAUUCUUUAUCUUAGGAAUUGCCAAAAACUGGUCAAGAUUACAGAUUUGGACAACCUCCCUUCAAUAGAGAGGAUCGACAUGAAUAAUUGUACUUCCCUGCAGAAUCCAUUCAAUGAAGGCUUCUUUAGUACCCCUGCUCUAUCAAUUCCAUCUAGAAAACAUCCACUGCAUCAGGAGGUUAGUCCCUCUCCUUCUCUCUGAUCUCUCUCUCGUAUCACAUUAUUAAUUAAUGAUCUAAUUGUGUCUUAAUUUGUCUGAUGAAGCAGCAGGUACAAAUUUAUCUUGAAAGCAAUGAGAUUCCAGAUUGGUGCAGCAAUAAAGUAACAGCUCCAUCUAUUUGUUUCACUAUGCCCACACUACAUACUAAUGACUAUAAGUUGUUAGGAAUGGUUCUCUGGUUUGUUUGCCACUUUUGCAAUGUACCCAUCCGUCUUCAACACUUUGUUGUUACUGUUGCCCAUAUAAAGCGUUCAGAUUUUUAUUUUAGUUGGGAUACUGAUAAACCUGACAGUGGAGAAGUAUCAUGUGUAUAUUACAUCCCUUGCUCAAACGAUACACCUUUUAAAGGCCUGAACAUCAAAGGCGGGGAACAGAUAAGAGUAGAGGAUCGCACUGGCGGAGCCAUAGUAAAGAAGAUAGGAGUACAUCUGUUAUAUUUAGACCAACAUGGCAAUGUUACUUCUUUCCCGGCAAAAAAAGUAUUAGAAGAAAAGAAGACAAAAAGAAAAAGGAAAAUGAUGUUUGGUGGCAGCCGUGGACGACUAUUGGUGUUCCCCAUUUCCAGAAAAACUUCAGCAAGGCAUAAAAGAGCAAAGUUCUGAUAGUUUUCCUUUGGAUAAAGCUGGGGAAUGAGUGAUGACUGAAUCGACUUUUUUCCAUUUGUAUACUGCUAGUUUCUUGAACUGCACUAAACCUUAGUUAAAAGAAUUGAAUAUGUAUAGUGAAUAUCUAUCUGUUUCACUAUUCCCACAGUACAUAAUAAUAAGUUGUUAGGAAUGGUUCUCUGGUUUGUUUGCGACUCUAAGAUUUUAUCAGAUUUUGGACACUUCCUUAUUGCUGUAUCCAAUAAAAAGCCUUUAGUUUUUUUUUACUGGACUAGGUAUCCCGAAUUACACGGGGAAGUAUCAUGUGUAUAUUACUUAUCUUUCUCAAAUGGUAGACCUUUUAAAGGCCUUAAGAUCAAAGGCGGGGAACAGAUAACAGUAGAGGAUGGCACUGACGGAGGCAUAAUAAAGAAGCUAGAUAGGAGUACAUCUGUUAUAUUUAGAUCAACAUGGUAAUGUUAUAUCUUUCCCCGCAGUUGUGGAUCAUUCUUAUACUCCCAAACCACCACAAAGAUGCAUCUUUAAGGUAAGACAGAUGGACUAUAUCAAUCAUGAAUUUUCAGAUGGACGAUGCUACUUUAGCAAGGUUUCUAACGAGGUUUGACUGUACUAGUAUAAUGUGAAACCAUCAUAUAUCGUAAAAGGUGAAGCAUUUUCAUCACACUCAGCACAACAACUCCUCUUUUUCCAGUUCUUUCUUCCUGUGUAUUUGGCAUCUUAUCUUUCUUGUUCCAUUUAUAGACGAUUAUCCAUCGAUUCCUUGGUGAGGUGGUGCAAGGGAAAAUAGUCCUUUAUCUCCUGCAAUGCUCAAAUGCAACAAAUCCAUACGGAUAUGAUGAUCAAAACUGAAUAGUGUUGAGGUGUGAAGAUGAGAUAUGUCAAUUAGGAGUUAGUUAAGCUGUUGAAAGUCUAUUAAAGAUUAAGAAGGACAUUGUGGUCAUUUGGAGAUAGAGUUGUAUCUAUAUACUCUAUCAUGAUCAUCCAUGUACAACACUCACUUGAAAUGAGAAUCAAUGUAGACACUUCUUUUAACCUCUCAUUUGAGUUCAUACAUUUUACGAACAAAUAGCCACGAAAGAAAUUAAACGAAUAGAAGCUAGAGGGUGUGUUUGGUAUGAAGGAAAACACUUUCCGGAAAAUAUUUUCCAAUUUUCUCAUGUUUGAUUGGGUAAAAUGUUUUCCAAAUCAACUCAUUUUCCUCAAAUUUAAGGAAAAUGACUUCCCUUCAAAAAUUAAGGAAAAUAUUUUCCAAAACUCUCCUCCAACUUCAAAUUACAAUUUUUUUUUUGAAAAAAAUAAACUUAAAGCUUAUUAAAAAAUAUAUAUUUUCAACUUCAAUCUUUAAUUUUUUUACCCCAUCCUCACCCCCUNNNNNNNNNNNNNNNNNNNNNNNNNNNNNNNNNNNNNNNNNNNNNNNNNNNNNNNNNNNNNNNNNNNNNNNNNNNNNNNNNNNNNNNNNNNNNNNNNNNNNNNNNNNNNNNNNNNNNNNNNNNNNNNNNNNNNNNNNNNNNNNNNNNNNNNNNNNNNNNNNNNNNNNNNNNNNNNNNNNNNNNNNNNNNNNNNNNNNNNCCCCACCCUCCCCCCAAAAAAAUUAAGUUUAUUUUUAAAAAAUAUUUUCAGUUUCAAUUCAAAAAUUAUUUUCUACUCCCUACUAAAAAUAAAAGAUAUUUUCUCAAAAAUAUUUUUCAUUCAUAAAUCAAACACACAAAAAUCUUUUCCGAAAAAUAUUUUCUAUUCACUAACCAAACAUGAGAAAUAAGUCCAAAGUCUAUUUGUUUUCCAGGAAAACAUUUUCCUUCAAACCAAACACACCCAGAAUGACAAAUAUUUUCUAAUUUGAUUUCCCUUUUUACUUGUUUUUUUUUUUUUGGACAAAUCAAGGAAGAACAAUUAUUUUCUUCCGACUAUACCCUUAAUUUAUUAACAUUAAAUUAAUGUCUUUGAAAAAUGUAAUGAGUAAAUAUGUUUAAGAUUCUAUCAUUUAAUAGAGAUAAAAUGAUUAACUCAUUUUACCAAUUAUUUUAUCUUAAUAGGGUAUGUGACAUACCAUAUGUCAAGUCAAAAUUUAACAAGUAUUUAAAAGGGACGAAAAAAGUAUAUACUUUGUGAAUUGAGAUUUAUGUCCUUGCUUUGAAUACUUGUUAAUCAGUUAAAAAGAAAUGAUCCCACUUCGUGCAGCGUACGUACUGCAUUGAACAACGAUUUAGGUGCAUUUAGCGGCAAAUUUGAGAGUUUUCAAUUUUGACUAGUUCUUGAGAUGUUAAAUAAUUCCAAAUAAUAUUAAUUUGAUUUUCAUGACCAAAUACCAACUUGUUGAUCUCAAUUACGUAAAAUCUCUAUAGAAGAUAACCAAAGAAUGUCUCUAAGUCAACUACUGGUUAGACUAUUCAAAAAGAAGAACUUAUAUUAUAAGAAAAUAUUCAAAAAGAAGAACUUAUAUUAUAAGAAAAUAUUCAAAAAGAAGAACUUAUAUUAUAAGAAAAUAUUCAAAAAGAAGAACUUAUAUUAUAAGAAAAUAUUCAAAAAGAAGAACUUAUAUUAUAAGAAAAUAUUCAAAAAGAAGAACUUAUAUUAUAAGAAAAUAUUCAAAAAGAAGAACUUAUAUUAUAAGAAAAUAUUCAAAAAGAAGAACUUAUAUUAUAAGAAAAUAUUCAAAAAGAAGAACUUAUAUUAUAAGAAAAUAUUCAAAAAGAAGAACUUAUAUUAUAAGAAAAUAUUCAAAAAGAAGAACUUAUAUUAUAAGAAAAUAUUCAAAAAGAAGAACUUAUAUUAUAAGAAAAUAUUCAAAAAGAAGAACUUAUAUUAUAAGAAAAUAUUCAAAAAGAAGAACUUAUAUUAUAAGAAAAUAUUCAAAAAGAAGAACUUAUAUUAUAAGAAAAUAUUCAAAAAGAAGAACUUAUAUUAUAAGAAAAUAUUCAAAAAGAAGAACUUAUAUUAUAAGAAAAUAUUCAAAAAGAAGAACUUAUAUUAUAAGAAAAUAUUCAAAAAGAAGAACUUAUAUUAUAAGAAAAUAUUCAAAAAGAAGAACUUAUAUUAUAAGAAAAUAUUCAAAAAGAAGAACUUAUAUUAUAAGAAAAUAUUCAAAAAGAAGAACUUAUAUUAUAAGAAAAUAUUCAAAAAGAAGAACUUAUAUUAUAAGAAAAUAUUCAAAAAGAAGAACUUAUAUUAUAAGAAAAUAUUCAAAAAGAAGAACUUAUAUUAUAAGAAAAUAUUCAAAAAGAAGAACUUAUAUUAUAAGAAAAUAUUCAAAAAGAAGAACUUAUAUUAUAAGAAAAUAUUCAAAAAGAAGAACUUAUAUUAUAAGAAAAUAUUCAAAAAGGAGAAAAAAAAAGUGAAGGGAGAAGAAAGAGGAGGUAAAUAGCGUGUAGAUUUAUGAUACGUUAAGUAAGCAAUAUAUUUGUUUAUGUAAUAAAUUAAUGGGAAAAUGCAUAAGUACCCCCAGCCUAUACCCAAAAUUCCCGAGACACACCUAACCUUUACUAAGGUCCUAUUACCCCCCUGAACUUAUUUUAUAUAUAAUUUUUUACCCCUUUUCAGCCUACGUGGCACUAUCUUGUGGGCCCAAUGCGUGUUGACAUUUUUUUCAAGGAUAGUGCCACGUAGGCCAAAAAGGGGUAGAAAAUUAAUAAAAAAAUAAGUUCAGGGGUAAUAGGACCUUAGUAAAGGUUAGGUGUGUCUCAGGGGUUUCGGACAUAGGCUGGGGGGUACUCAUGCAUUUUCCCUAAAUUAAUUGCAAAGAAUCAAUUAGGAAUUUGUUUGAAAAUAGAAUUAAGUACUCUCUUCCUCUCAUAUUAGUUAAUCAUUAUAUUAAAAAUAAUUAUCUUAUAUUAAUAUUUUCUAUAUUAUCCUAAUAAUUAAUUUUUUUUAAAAGUGUUCAUAUUUGCUUAUAAAAUUCCAAAAUAUUUUUUGAAAGGGUGAAUUAAUAAAAUUAUCUUUGUAUUUAUGAUUUUUUAAGCAUCAUACAAAAUGAAAAGUGAUCAACUAAUAGGACAGAGGAAGUAUUAGAUUACGCACUCUGUGUUAUCCAAAUAUUAUCAUUUUAUUUAUUGCUAAUGAAUAUGUGUCAUCAUACUGGACAAAUUAAAAUGAACGAACGUCCCAAUAGCAAAUUAAAUUUCUUACUUGGGAUCAACAAGGACGCAGUAGCAAGUACUCCUUCAUCCUUAAUCAGACUCUCGGGUUUGAGUUUCCUUUGGUAUAAACUCCCUUUUUUUAGAGAGCGUUUUACCUUCAAUGUGGAACUUUCCGAUGCAAAUCUAAAUUUAAUCAGGUUCCAAUGUGGUACGAACAAUAAGUGGAAAAUCAAAUCAAACAAAAAAAAAAAAAAAUUCUUAUUUUUGAAGGAUCUGAUACGAAUAUAGCAACAUUUUCGAAGAAUCUGAGUAACCUAGAUUAAAAGAACAUAUUAAAAAGGAAUAAAAGUGAAAGAUGAGGCAAAUAGCGUGUAAAAUACCAAAAUAUGAUAAUCUUAAUAAAGGCAUAGUGGAACAUCAUGACAUAUUUGUUGUAUUUUUUUUUAUUUUUAAUAAAGAAGAAGAGGAAAGGCCAGAAGUUGUAAAAUUUGUUGCAAUACUAUAUUUGUUCUGCAAUAAAUUAAUCACAAAGAUAUAGAAACGGUCCAAUUCAAUAAAUUAUUCACUUUGUGUGUAAUCGUAAUAUUGUUAUUUAUUUAUUGUUAAUGAAUGUAUAUCGUUAUACUGGACAAAUUAAAAUGAACCAAGGGUGAGAGUAAACAACUAAAUUUCAUAGGACUUGGGAGGUAUCUUGCAUAAGUGAGCUUUAAUUUAUUGGUUUCAUCCAUGAAUACUCAAGGAGAAUCAUCUUCUACUUCUUCUAACUUCUCUUAUGAUGUGUUUCUCAGUUUUAGAGGUGAAGAUACUCGUAAAAACUUCACUGGUCAUCUUUAUUUCCGAUUAUGUCAAGUCGGAGUUAAUACUUUCAUAGAUGAUGAGGAAUUGAGAAAAGGAGACGUCAUUUCAAACAAACUUGACAAAGCAAUUGAACAAUCAAGGUUGCCAUUGUUGUUUUCUCCAAAAAUUAUGCUUCGUCUAGUUGGUGUCUUAAUGAACUCGAUAAAAUUCUCGAUUGCAGAGAGAGGUUAAAGCAGGUAGUUUUGCCUAUUUUCUAUGAUGUUGAUCCUUCUCAAGUGCGAAAGCAAACUGGGUCCUUUGGCGAAGCUUUGGCAAAACACAAGGAACGAUCAUUUGGAGUUCAAAGAGUGGAGAAUUGGAAAGCAGCACUGACUGAAGCUGCGAAUUUAUCUGGAUGGGAUUUGCGAAAUAUUGCUGAUGGGUAAAACUUCUUAAUUUAAUUAUAGAAUUUUGAAUUUAAGAAUUUGCUUAAGCUUAUAAGUUGGUUAGUUUUGAAACAUUGCAAAGUCUUUCAAUAUUUCUUAAAACUCAGGGCCCAAUCGUCGAUAAUCUGGUAAAAUAACAGCAAUUAACCUUUUAAAUGUAGUUAGCAUUUACUAAUAGCAUAAAAAUAUCAAUAUGUAUAAAUAAAUUAUGUUCUCUAACCUCGAGUCCCUGUUAUCUGUUGGCUAUUGAUUUUGUUUUGUUCAUCAAAUAUUUUCAAAUAUCAAAGUAUUGUUUUGCUUUUUUUACUUUUAACUUUUGUUGUUGCUAUAAAAUUGUAGGCAUGAAUCAAAAUUUAUUGGAAGUAUUAUAAAACAAGUUCUACAAGAGGUCAAUCAGACACCUCUAGAUGUUGCUCAUUACCCAAUUGGAUUAGAUUCUUCUAUCCAACAUAUAGAGUUGUUACUGCAAAGUGGAUGUGAGCAUGAAGUGCACAUGGUUGGUAUAUGUGGCGUUGGUGGAAUUGGAAAAACAACUCUGGCAAAAGCUAUCUACAAUCGAAUAUUUCAGCAGUUUGAUGGUAGUUGCUUCCUUUCAGACGUUAGAUCAAAAAUUGAAGAAUUGGGUCUAGUCAAACUUCAAAAGAAACUACUUGAUCAAAUCCUCAAAGCUAAGGAAUUUGAAGUUGAUAGUGUUGCUGAAGGUGUUAAUCUCAUCAAAGCAAGACUUGGGUCUCAAUAGGUUCUAAUUGUUCUUGAUGACAUGGAUCAUAGAAGCCAAUUAGAAUCUUUAACAAGAGAAAGAAGUUGGUUUGGCUCUAGUAGUGUAAUAAUUAUUACAACCCGAGACGAGCAUUUGUUGUAUGGGCUUACAACAACUGAGAUAUACCAGGCCAAACUUUUACAUGACAACGAAGCUCAGCAAUUUUUUUCUCAUCAUGCUUUCAACAGUUUUUCUCCACCACGAGAAUAUGAUGAGCUGGCACAAGACAUAAUAAAAUAUUCAGGUGGGUUACCAUUAGCUCUUGUGACAUUAGGGUCACAUUUGCAAGGGAGAUCCAUAGAAGAAUGGAGACAUGAGUUCAAAAAACUAAGAGCAAUUCCUCAUUGUGAUAUUCAAAAGAUUCUCCAGAUAAGCUUUGAUGGACUUGAUGACAAUACUCAAAGUGUUUUCCUUGAUAUCACAUGCGCCUUCCAUGGAUGUUAUGAGGAUGAAGUGACCAAAACAUUAAAUGCGUGUGGUUUUUAUUCUGAAAGUGCAAUUUUGACCUUAAUCCAAAGGAACUUACUCCAAAGGGAUUGCCGUUAUUUGGUGAUGCAUGAUCUAGUGCGGGAUAUGGGAAGAGAAAUUGUUCGCUUGGAAUCACCUCGAGACUCAGGUAAACGGAGUAGAUUGUUCAACCCUC